RNAcentral lists this ribosomal RNA (497 nucleotides) under uncultured bacterium. RNAcentral's name for it is "partial 16S ribosomal RNA". It matches the Rfam family "Bacterial small subunit ribosomal RNA", at positions 28 to 507 of the family's 1533-position model. The record is from RNAcentral.
GAUGAACGCUGGCGGCGUGCCUAAUACAUGCAAGUCGAGCGAACGGACGAGAAGCUUGCUUCUCUGAUGUUAGCGGCGGACGGGUGAGUAACACGUGGAUAACCUACCUAUAAGACUGGGAUAACUUCGGGAAACCGGAGCUAAUACCGGAUAAUAUUUUGAACCGCAUGGUUCAAUAGUGAAAGACGGUCUUGCUGUCACUUAUAGAUGGAUCCGCGCUGCAUUAGCUAGUUGGUAAGGUAACGGCUUACCAAGGCGACGAUGCAUAGCCGACCUGAGAGGGUGAUCGGCCACACUGGAACUGAGACACGGUCCAGACUCCUACGGGAGGCAGCAGUAGGGAAUCUUCCGCAAUGGGCGAAAGCCUGACGGAGCAACGCCGCGUGAGUGAUGAAGGUCUUCGGAUCGUAAAACUCUGUUAUUAGGGAAGAACAAAUGUGUAAGUAACUGUGCACGUCUUGACGGUACCUAAUCAGAAAGCCACGGCUAACUACGUG